UAACUUCAUUGGGUUUUGACUCAGUUGCAUUUUUCAUUUCUUCAUAUUCUAUCUUUACUGGUGUACGCUUUUUUUUCACGGUUUUAUUUUGUAAAUCUUGAACUUUAAUUUCAGUAUUUUUCGAGUCGGUUACAUCUUUCAUUUCUUCAUGCUUUAUUUUUACCGGUGCACGGUCCUUUUUCACGGUUUUAUUUUGUAAAUCUUCAAUUUUAAUUUCACUAUUUUUCGAGUUAGCUGCAUCUUUCAUUUCUUCAUGUUUUAUCUUAACUGGUGUAUGCUUCUUCUUCACAAUUUUUUUUGAUCGUAAGGACCUUGGCUUUGUAAGGACAUCAAGCUUUAACUUUUUACUCAUUUUAUAAAGGUUACAACACGAUGAAGUAUAUGUCAGAAGUCUACUUGAGAUAAACAAAAGAAUGUCAUGUCGGCAAACAGCAAUAUAAUUCGAAGAUAACAUAACCUUCCGCGCUUCUUCCGUGAUUUGAAUUAAUAAUUUAGGUCACUGUGCAUGCGUAGCAAUAUAAAAAUUGAUGAUCUAUUUAUAAUCAUCAAAUGCGUAUAUAAAUACAUACUACCA
RNAcentral lists this unclassified non-coding RNA (574 nucleotides) under Bombus terrestris (buff-tailed bumblebee). RNAcentral's name for it is "misc RNA ENSBTSG00005025200.1". The record is from RNAcentral. Lineage: Eukaryota; Metazoa; Arthropoda; Insecta; Hymenoptera; Apidae.